UCUCGAUUGGUCUAGUGGUAAGGAUACCUGCUUGUCAUUGAUUCGGUCACGAUCGUACAAACACCAGAAUGGUGGGAGGAAAGUCGGACAGAAAAAAUUCGCAGGUGGCCGGGGUUCGAUUCCCCGAUCGAGAG
Molecule: non-coding RNA, 134 nt
Organism: Nemania sp. FL0916
Lineage: Eukaryota; Fungi; Ascomycota; Sordariomycetes; Xylariales; Xylariaceae
Source: the annotation of a GenBank genome assembly